RNAcentral lists this ribosomal RNA (495 nucleotides) under uncultured bacterium. RNAcentral describes it as "partial 16S ribosomal RNA". It matches the Rfam family "Bacterial small subunit ribosomal RNA", at positions 28 to 507 of the family's 1533-position model. The record is from RNAcentral.
GACGAACGCUGGCGGCGUGCCUAAUACAUGCAAGUAGAACGCUGAAGGAGGAGCUUGCUUCUCUGGAUGAGUUGCGAACGGGUGAGUAACGCGUAGGUAACCUGCCUGGUAGCGGGGGAUAACUAUUGGAAACGAUAGCUAAUACCGCAUAAGAGUAGAUGUCGCAUGACAUUUGCUUAAAAGGUGCAAUUGCAUCACCACCAGAUGGACCUGCGUUGUAUUAGCUAGUUGGUGAGGUAACGGCUCACCAAGGCAACGAUACAUAGCCGACCUGAGAGGGUGAUCGGCCACACUGGGACUGAGACACGGCCCAGACUCCUACGGGAGGCAGCAGUAGGGAAUCUUCGGCAAUGGACGGAAGUCUGACCGAGCAACGCCGCGUGAGUGAAGAAGGGUUUCGGAUCGUAAAGCUCUGUUGUAAGAGAAGAACGAGUGUGAGAGUGGAAAGUUCACACUGUGACGGUAUCUUACCAGAAAGGGACGGCUAACUACGUG